Molecule: ribosomal RNA, 184 nt
Filed under: Pseudophilautus amboli
Lineage: Eukaryota; Metazoa; Chordata; Amphibia; Anura; Rhacophoridae
Description: partial 16S ribosomal RNA
Source: RNAcentral
GCCUAAAAUCUAGCCUAAGAAUAUAUACAUAUAAAAAGGACUAAAUAAUAUAAAUAUAAAACAUUUUACCUUUAAAGUAGAGGCGAUCGAAAAAACUCUCAGCGCUUUAGAAGUUGUACCGCAAGGGAAAGAUGAAAUAGAAAUGAAAUAUAUUUAAAGCUAAUAAAAGCAGAGAUGUAAGCUC